GCUUGGGUGGCUCAGUUGGUUGAGUGUCUGACUUCAGCUCAGGUCAUGAUCUCAUGGUCUGGUCUGUGAGUUCGAGCCCCGCAUCAGGCU
Molecule: transfer RNA, 90 nt
Filed under: Felis catus (domestic cat)
Lineage: Eukaryota; Metazoa; Chordata; Mammalia; Carnivora; Felidae
Rfam family: tRNA
About the family: Transfer RNA (tRNA) molecules are approximately 80 nucleotides in length. Their secondary structure includes four short double-helical elements and three loops (D, anti-codon, and T loops).
Source: Rfam by way of RNAcentral